This 598-nucleotide long non-coding RNA is filed under the name Fukomys damarensis (Damara mole-rat). Its description in RNAcentral is "lncRNA (ENSFDAG00000032188.1)". The record is from RNAcentral. Lineage: Eukaryota; Metazoa; Chordata; Mammalia; Rodentia; Bathyergidae.
UGUGUAUAUAUAUAUAUAAACCAAUCUGGGUAUCAGGUAUAGUCACUGCAGCUGAUAUGUCAUCCUUCUAGGCUCUCUUAGUGGAUAGAAUGAACACAUGCAUACAUUUGUGUUUAUUUCUUUAUUUAUAUAUUAAAACAUGGUCCACAUUGAUAACUCCAGUUCUAAUCAACACCACUGAUUUAUGCUUGCUUUCUUCUCAACCAUAUUUAUAGCUCUCUUUCCAGUGAGAAACCUGGUUUCCAUUAUCCUUGAUGUAUUCAGUUUUGUGCCCAAACUCUUACAGUGAAGGCCAGAAGCACAAAGGGAAAGGAAGAAGAGGGGGCAGAGAAGGGACAGAAGGUACAUGGGAGGAAAAAGUUUGUUUUCUUUUCUUAUUUUGCAUUUGUCUCCCAUUUCCAACAAGGGAAGGACAGAGUCUCAGAGGCUUGCAGGAGAAGGGACAGGUGCCCAAGAGGAAGGGGGCUGUGCAAUUUCUGCAAUUUGGGGUCUUCCUUUAAUCUGUGUCUCUGUUGAUCUCUGUCUUUACGAAGAAGGAUUCAGCUCAGAUUCAAAGGAAAACAGCUGGAGCCUUAAUGAUACCAUACUCAAAUAACAC